GUGCCCGUAACUCAGUGGUAGAGUGUGAGAUUGCAACGUCAUCGUUGUUUCCUAUCUUGAAGCCCCGUGUUCGACCCACGGCGGGCACU
This is a non-coding RNA of Marasmius fiardii PR-910, 89 nucleotides long. NCBI's taxonomy places the organism in Eukaryota, Fungi, Basidiomycota, Agaricomycetes, Agaricales, Marasmiaceae. The record is from the annotation of a GenBank genome assembly.